GACGAACGCUGGCGGCGUGCUUAACACAUGCAAGUCGAACGGAAAGGCCCUGCUUUUGUGGGGUGCUCGAGUGGCGAACGGGUGAGUAACCCUUGAGUAACCUGCCCUUGACUUUGGGAUAACUUCAGGCAACUGGGUCUAAUCCCGGAUAGGAUCUCCUGCUUCUUGGUGGGGGUUGGAUAGUUUCGGCGGUUGGGGAUGGACUCGCGGCUUAUCAGAUUGUUGGUGGGGUAGCGUCUUACCAAGGCUUUGACGGGUAGCCGGCCUGAGCGGGGAACAGGCGCCACUGGGCCUGAGAUAAGGCCCAGACUAGUAUGGGAGGCAACGGUGGGGAGGAUUAUACAAUGGGCGGAAGCAUGAUGCGGCAACGCCGCGCGCGGGAUGAGGGGAAGGGGGUUGUGAACCGAAGUCGCCUGUGACGAAGCGUUAGUGACGGUACCGGGUAAAGAAGCACCGGCUAACUACGUG
RNAcentral lists this ribosomal RNA (468 nucleotides) under uncultured bacterium. RNAcentral's name for it is "partial 16S ribosomal RNA". It matches the Rfam family "Bacterial small subunit ribosomal RNA", at positions 28 to 507 of the family's 1533-position model. The record is from RNAcentral.